AUUCAUUUAGUAUAUAAAGUAUAUUUAACUUCCAAUUAAAAGGAUUAAUAAAAAUGAAUA
Molecule: transfer RNA, 60 nt
Filed under: Centrotus cornutus
Lineage: Eukaryota; Metazoa; Arthropoda; Insecta; Hemiptera; Membracidae
Also listed under: 11 other names
Description: tRNA-Gly
Source: RNAcentral